AAAACAUAUGAUGAGAUAUUUCUUUAUAACUCUAAAUUGUCUAUAUAACAUACACACAAGUGUCAUUUUUGCAAUUUUGCAGUCACCCAAACACACAGAAUGACAAAACAAAGACCUCUGGUAUAUAAUCAAUGGUGUUUUUUUUUCAUAAAGGCUUCCAAUAUUUUACUUAGGCUUUUCAGUAUUAUACUUAGUUGUGAAACCAGCAUUUAAUUUUUAAACCAUGCCAAGCCUUUUGGAUGACUUUUUCUAUUUUGGUACAUGAUUGGUGUUAAUAUAUUUUUGGCCAUGUGGAGUUCCUGGACAUUUGGUAGAAUUUUGUUACACAGAAUAACCCAGAUACAUAACUAUGCUAAACAUUUUAUUUCAGCAGAAAGUACAUCGGUGAGCAUGCACUGCUGUUUGAUCGCUACAUACAACCUCUGAUUAUUCAGAAACAGAGAUUUACGAGGUUUCAGCUUUCAAGACUCCAUCAGUCUGGACACUCCGUUCAACCCAGAUAGCCGAGGAAUCACCAGAGCGGGUGCUCUUCAUUGUCAUUGGGUUUGAUCAUUUUAAAUACACAGGUCAAUAGCCAGUAUCAGUAUUGGAGAGCCCCUCCUGAGGUCAUUCUCUGUGCCCUGUAAGGGACACAUCUUGAGAGAGUCAUGCCUUCUCGUCACCAUCAGAACGUUCUGAAGGAACAUCAGAGUUUCAUUAAGAUUGUUGGCUUCUGAGAAGGCAGUGGAGGAGUACUUCAAAAAGUUCUUCCAGAAUGACAGACUAUUCAGGAAAGGGUACGAGUAUGUGAGAGCAAAUGAGGCUCUCCUCACGGCCUGCUCCAUUCCUGUCAUCUGCUGGACAGCAGACUGCCACGUCUAUAAAUGUUGACUUCCUGUGCACUGAACUAGAGCAUCACAGCUUCAAUUGUGGUCUGUUGAAUGAUGAAGUGAGAUGCACACUUUAGAAGAGACAUGGUUUGUUAUUUCAUUCAAACAUAAAAGAAGAAAUGGAUCUUUGAAAAGAUGUGCAAUUCAUUCUCGCAGAAGACACUCUCUGUAUGAGCGCCAUGAAGCAGAUUUUGUUAAAGAAGUUGCAGAAGCCUGGCCCAGUUUAUAUAUAACACAUUUCUAAGAAAAACAGACUGCUGUGCCGUGUUGUACUGUGCUCAGUGCUGCCGGUGUAUUAAACGAUUGUUCAUUGGUUUCUGUGAAUUAAUAUCUGAAAUGCUGGCUAUCGUUCAGACUGUAUGUUUUUUACAUUGCGGGAUGGACCUGCCUGUUAUUUCCACUCUCAGAGUUUGCCAGCAUCGACUAGAACUUUUUUGAACAGUUCUCCAAUUGGGCAAAGAUAUACCACUGAAUAUUCUGAAAAAAGCCUGUGCUUCAGUCAAUUCAUUGACCUGGAACUGUCCCAGUCUAAGACAAAUCAGGUAAAAGAAAGACCACGGCAGCCAUUAUUGCAUGGAUUUAGGCUGAGACUAGCAAAGCCUUACUUUCAGCUGUACAGCCCUCAUUUACAACAUUGUAGUGGCGGAAGUAUUCAGACAAACUGAAACCAAGCUAAGUGUACCAUACCAUAUACAGACUGUAAAAUGAGUUUAUACUUCAACUUAAAAGCUCAGUGGUUACUGGAGGAAGUAGAAAGUGUCUUGAAGAAGGCCUGCAAGGUUUUGUACUAAUUAAUCAACACAUAUUUCUUAUCUUUCUAACCAUAAAUGAUGCUUCCAAUACAGAAAUAUAAACUACAGGCGCAUUGCAAACAAAAUUGCUUUGCAAAUGCACCAGGCAGAAAAUUAGUCUACAGGAUCAAAACAAACCUAAUUUAUUUUCAGUACAUCUGCAGGAGGCCUAUAUUCCUUUGGAACACCUUUAGCACUUUCUUACCUCUCCAGGUGCUGUUGUGCAAGCCAUAUGAUUCAGUUAGUGGCGUUUCUUUGGGAAGGGAGACAAGGAGGAGAGAAGAAAUUGUGACUGCGUGCUGUUGAAGAGGACCAGAAGGAGAGCUGCCUCCCUGUUACGUCUUAUUUUAAGAAGUGUCUACAAAAUAAAAGGUCUCUUUAAAGCAACUUUCAUUUUCAAAGUCAUUCUGGUGAGACUUACAAGAAGCGUCUUACGAACUGGAAGUCUCGCCUGUAGGUUUUCUUCUGUGUUGAGAAAAA
Puntigrus tetrazona (Sumatra barb) is the source of this 2140-nucleotide long non-coding RNA. RefSeq lists it as uncharacterized. The record is from RefSeq and is a predicted model, not a curated record. The transcript is spliced from 3 exons. NCBI's taxonomy places the organism in Eukaryota, Metazoa, Chordata, Actinopteri, Cypriniformes, Cyprinidae.